ACCAAAGUCACCGCAAUACGCUUUGAUAGACGAUGUAAAUGUCGCUCCACGUCGCACGCCAUUUAUCUCCUAAUUUUCCUGACAUCCGAAGGACCAAAACAUACAGCUCCGCACACGAAAAACAAUGUGUGUUGUUAUAUCACUGGCUUGAAAAGCAGGCCGCGAAUAAACAGCCUCUGCCUUCGCAGGUUCUUUGUGGUGAAAAGUUCAGUGACGUAGAAGUGAGAUAAAUAGCGAAAAGACGAAUUCGACCAGAGCUAAAUAUAUAAUGGUGCGAUCAAAGUGGAACGUAAUAAAAAUUUUUUUUUUUUAAACAGCAGCAAUUAUUUAUUUCGUCGUAAAGUUAUUUUUGUUGUCGCAUAGAGUUACCAAACCGAAAUUGAAAAGAAAACGAUUUUUCUCUAAAAGAAAAAUUUUUCAUUUAUUUUAAAAGUUAUCGUACGUUAAACAGUUCCGAUGAAAAUAAGCAAAGAAUUGAGGUGAACUUUGAAUGGGUUUGUGAAUAAACUCAGCCUCGUAUAGCAGUCUUUUUCUUCUGUCGAGUAGUCAUUGAAUAGGAAACCGGAAAAGCAGGCUUAUGAUGACAAGGUUACCCACAAUGUAAUUUAGACAAGAGUACGCGUAUCGCUGCGGUUAAUUCGCAGUGAAGCGACAUCGAAAAUAGAGCUUAGUUCGGCGCUAGAAACAGUAAGAGUUGUUCCAGAUAAGCCAAUACAUGCAAAAUUCUCCAUGGGAACUGUAUCAAUCCGUUUUUUCAUAAGCUGGUAUUUGAUCAUCGUACUAAUGGUGUCAUCGUCUAUUUCGCACGAUAGACGGGAUCAGGCAAAGAAAAUCAAAGAAAUAUUGGAAUCUGUUGCUCCUGACGAAUAUCCCGUGGGAUUCAACUGGUGAUACUUAAGAAUCAGAAUAUGCGUACAAUUUUCCGUGAUCGUCGUGAUCGAUGAGCUCCGACACGAAUAAAAAAGGAAAACAGACAGUAAUGCAUGGUAAUUGAUUGUAUCCAUUGAUCAACUUGUUCGUAAUAAAAUGAUUGAAAAGGAGGAAA
This is a long non-coding RNA of Venturia canescens, 1045 nucleotides long. RefSeq lists it as uncharacterized. Lineage: Eukaryota; Metazoa; Arthropoda; Insecta; Hymenoptera; Ichneumonidae. The transcript has 2 exons. The record is from RefSeq and is a predicted model, not a curated record.